This 903-nucleotide ribosomal RNA is filed under the name Clitopilus fusiformis. Its description in RNAcentral is "partial large subunit ribosomal RNA". It matches the Rfam family "Eukaryotic large subunit ribosomal RNA", at positions 56 to 946 of the family's 3401-position model. Lineage: Eukaryota; Fungi; Basidiomycota; Agaricomycetes; Agaricales; Entolomataceae. The record is from RNAcentral.
GGAAGGAACUAACAGGGAUUCCCCUAGUAACUGCGAGUGAAGCGGGAAAAGCUCAAAUUUAAAAUCUGGUAGUCUCUGGCUGCCCGAGUUGUAAUCUAGAGAAGUGUUAUCCGCGCUGGACCGUGUACAAGUCUCCUGGAAUGGAGCGUCAUAGAGGGUGAGAAUCCCGUCUUUGACACGGACUACCAGGGCUUUGUGAUGCGCUCUCAAAGAGUCGAGUUGUUUGGGAAUGCAGCUCUAAAUGGGUGGUAAAUUCCAUCUAAAGCUAAAUAUUGGCGAGAGACCGAUAGCGAACAAGUACCGUGAGGGAAAGAUGAAAAGAACUUUGGAAAGAGAGUUAAAUAGUACGUGAAAUUGUUGAAAGGGAAACGCUUGAAGUCAGUCGCGUUGGCUAGGAAUCAGCCUUGCUUUUGCUUGGUGUACUUCCUUGUUGACGGGUCAGCAUCAAUUUUGACCGGUGGAAAAAGGCUAGUGGAAUGUGGCAUCUUCGGAUGUGUUAUAGCUGCUAGUUGUAUACAUCGGUUGGGAUUGAGGAACUCAGCACGCCGAAAGGUCGGGGUUUUGCCCACGUUCGUGCUUAGGAUGCUGGCAUAAUGGCUUUAAUCGACCCGUCUUGAAACACGGACCAAGGAGUCUAACAUGCCUGCGAGUGUUUGGGUGGAAAACCCGAGCGCGUAAUGAAAGUGAAAGUUGAGAUCCCUGUCGUGGGGAGCAUCGACGCCCGGACCAGACCUUUUGUGACGGAUCCGCGGUAGAGCAUGUAUGUUGGGACCCGAAAGAUGGUGAACUAUGCCUGAAUAGGGUGAAGCCAGAGGAAACUCUGGUGGAGGCUCGUAGCGAUUCUGACGUGCAAAUCGAUCGUCAAAUUUGGGUAUAGGGGCGAAAGACUAAUCGAACCAUCUA